UCUUGAGGCCUAAAUCCCUUAAAGGCACCAAAUCCUAUCUGAUCUUGGAAGCUAAGCAGAGUCAGCUCUGGUUAGUGCUUGAUUAGGAGACCGCCAAGGAAUACCAGGUGCUGUAGGCU
RNAcentral lists this ribosomal RNA (119 nucleotides) under Anolis carolinensis (green anole). Lineage: Eukaryota; Metazoa; Chordata; Lepidosauria; Squamata; Anolidae. The record is from RNAcentral.